RNAcentral lists this RNase P RNA (378 nucleotides) under Thermothelomyces thermophilus ATCC 42464. RNAcentral describes it as "Myceliophthora thermophila ATCC 42464 Nuclear RNase P". It matches the Rfam family "Nuclear RNase P". Rfam says of the family: Ribonuclease P (RNase P) is a ubiquitous endoribonuclease, found in archaea, bacteria and eukarya as well as chloroplasts and mitochondria. Its best characterised activity is the generation of mature 5'-ends of tRNAs by cleaving the 5'-leader elements of precursor-tRNAs. Lineage: Eukaryota; Fungi; Ascomycota; Sordariomycetes; Sordariales; Chaetomiaceae. The record is from Rfam by way of RNAcentral.
UCCUCUUCAACGCUGCGUUUCUAUGCUACAAACGGAGAGCCUGCGCAAGCAGUGCUUUCGAGCCAUACCAUCUAGCAUAUGAGAAAUUCGGAGAAUCGGCUUCACUCAUGGCUCGUCCAUCUGCGCUCUCGGGCGUCCGAUGGGUUGCGAGCCCUGCCGGUGACGGCUUGGCGCGAUCUCGCGUCUGUAAUUGGCAUCAGAAAAGCAGGGCCUGGGAUCGCCUCGUGGCAACGCGGGUGUCGGUUUCCCAGGUAUCCUCUGGGAGAGCCGUUACGAAGCUUGUGCGCAACACUUGAGUGCAAUACGCAGCGUGCGGUCUUGCUUCUCUUCUUGGACGGGCGAGACCACACAAUUCGAUUCCGAUUAUCCUGUUGAGGA